Molecule: long non-coding RNA, 233 nt
Organism: Choloepus didactylus (southern two-toed sloth)
Lineage: Eukaryota; Metazoa; Chordata; Mammalia; Pilosa; Megalonychidae
Exons: 3
Source: RefSeq, a predicted model, not a curated record
GUUCAAUCUUCAGGCAUAGCAAGGAUUUUGUGCUCUCCUGGGACAGUCAUAACACGUGAGAAGUAUACUUACCUUUUGCUGAGCAGUCGUUGAUACAGAAACUUCAGGGGGUGACAUCUAAACCGAGCCCUGGUAGUCUCAAGAAGAACCCAAAAGAUCAUUUUCAGGUGUUUGGAGAGUGGAUCCGUGAAAGACAGAUGUAGUACUACUUGGAUAACCUGCCAAUCACAUGG